CUCAAGUUCAGUAGCGCAGCAUUUGCGUGCGGUAGGGAUGAGAGGGCAGCUCGUGCAAAAAGGCGCGGCGGCGCUCUACGCUGGUCCAAAGAUCGCCUCCUACACAGAUGCGUGCGAAGCCCCAGUCGCAAUGUGGGAAGGAGCUAUUCCGCUGAAGCAUGAGCGCGUGCUCAACAGCGGCGUUGUCACUCGCGUAGUAAAGAAAACAUACUCCCACCCGCCGGAGAUUCAUCCGACCAACUUGAGCUUCAAUGACAUUGAUUCCAUGUAUUGCUUGGGGAACGACGAGCUGAUCAAGUACUUCCCCGAGGGCGUGGGCGGAAAGAUGAUGCAGCUCAUGCCCCCUGGUCACCCACGCGGUUUCUUGUACCGGAAGCAGAGUCACCUCCUGAAUUGCUUCAUUGACAAGCUUCCCUUUUGGCAAAGCAAAGAAAGGGCGCUGCGCUCUCUGACGAACGGUCGUCCCGGAUUCAUCAUGGAUGGCCCGACAGGGUGCGGCAAGAGCGCGCUGCUCUGCCAGGCAGUGCACUACGCACGGUCUCGCGACAUCAUUACUCUGUACAUCGCAAACGCAAAGGCGUGGACGCAUGGAGAGUGGUGCUGGCCUAGCACGAUUCUGCCGGGCUUUUUCGAUGCACCGGAUGCGGCACGAGAGUUUCUUCGCACGGUGGCAGAAGCGAAUCGCUCUCUCUUGCAGGCGUGGGAGCUGAGGGUGACGCCGCAGGACUUGCCUCUUGAACAAGGCGAGAAGCAGCCGCGCUCCCUCUAUGACCUUUGUGAGUGGGGCCACCGCGCUGUUGCACCAGCGUCUAUUGACCGACAGAGCGUAUGUAUCAAGUUUUUCUUCGACGAGAUUAGAGCCGAGAAAACGAAGCCCAUCGUCAUAGCCGUGGACGGGUGGAAUCUGUUUUCCCAUGAGACACACUUCCGCUACCCGCACCCUGACUUCCUGCGUACUCUAACAACGCUGAACGACGGGUCGACGGACGUAGAUCUCUACCCACAAGAGCUGCCCCGCAUUCCGGCGUCGCGACUGAGCUUUGUGCGCGGCCUUAACAAACUGAUUCUCUCCAAGCAGGACCCCAACAAGUUUUUUAUCACUUGUACUACGCGUGACUUCAAACCCUUUGACGGUGUCAGCGGAUUCGCCGACGUGGAGAACGACCGUUUCAAGAAUAGUCUCGAUGAGUACGCUCCGUACGACCCGGAGAAAGACUCCUUUUUCCACCCUAUGCAGGUGGACAACUUUACCGAGUACGAGUACAGGGCGUUCCUCCGCUUCGCCAUCAACUCUGGUGAGCUGGCGGGCCUCGGCUGGGGCCCGAUGUGGCACUACUCAAGCGACUUUGAGCGGAAGCUGUACAAGAUCGACUUUAUGUCAGACCGCAACCCGCAGCGCGUCGUCGAUCACUAUCAUCAAGAGCUCGUGUGGCGUUACGAGUACAAGCGCACGCGGCAGAAACAGUACCUGCUAGCGCGACGCAAGAUGUGGCAGGGCGCCGAGGUGUCUAAUCCACUGCGCAACGGCAAGUGAGAAGCUCGGGCCUCUCCUCAGUGCGAUGGGAGCAGGCUUGUCUUGUAGUCGUUCUCGACUUUUUUUUCGGUUUUCCAUUUUGAGCUGUUGCUGUGCUAGUGGUUGUGAAGGAUAAGUUCUAGCUGCCGCCGAGGAGGCUGUUGUGGAUGGCUGCAGGAUUGAAAC
RNAcentral lists this unclassified non-coding RNA (1699 nucleotides) under Leishmania donovani. RNAcentral describes it as "gene:LdHU3.12.0060(CDS-product:Mitochondrial_SSU_ ribosomal_protein_29_putative)". The record is from RNAcentral. Lineage: Eukaryota; Euglenozoa; Kinetoplastea; Trypanosomatida; Trypanosomatidae.